RNAcentral lists this unclassified non-coding RNA (247 nucleotides) under uncultured fungus. RNAcentral describes it as "partial contains 18S rRNA, ITS1, 5.8S rRNA, ITS2 and 28S rRNA". The record is from RNAcentral. Lineage: Eukaryota; Fungi.
AAGGAUCAUUAUUGAAAACUAUUUUAAUAGUUCUCAAUUCUAAACCCCUUUGUUUGUACUUACCAUGUUGCUUCCACUGGACAGGCUAACCUUGUAUUACCAAGUAAAGCCCUCUAGAUUGUGCCUCUGGUACUUUCUUGGGAGCUGCCGGUGGAUAGAACCUAUAAAUUCUGUUUGUAAAACCUAUCUUGUCUGAAUUAAAUAUUGAAAUGAUAUAAAACUUUCAACAACGGAUCUCUAGGCUCUU